This 485-nucleotide ribosomal RNA is filed under the name uncultured bacterium. RNAcentral's name for it is "partial 16S ribosomal RNA". It matches the Rfam family "Bacterial small subunit ribosomal RNA", at positions 899 to 1397 of the family's 1533-position model. The record is from RNAcentral.
ACUCAAAUGAAUAGACGGGGACCUGCACAAGCGGUGGAGCAUGUGGUUUAAUUCGACGGUAAGCGAGGAACCUUACCAAGGCUUGACAUAUACCUGCAAGCCCCAGAAAUGGGGCCGCCUUCGAGGGUGGUAUACAGAUGCUGCACGGUAGUCGUCAGCUCGUGCCGUGAGGUGUUCACUUAAGUGUGAAAACGAGCGCAACCCCUGUUAUGAGUUACAAGUGUCUCAUAAGACUGCCGGCGUCUAAGCCGGAGGAAGGCGGGGAUGACGUCAUAUCAGCGUGGCUCUUACGCCUUGGGCGACACACGUGCUACAAUGGGUUGGCACAAAGGGACGCCAAAGAGUAAUCUGGAGCAAAUCCUUUAAAACAACCCCCAGUUCGGAUCGAGGGCUGCAACUCGCCCUCGUGAAGCCGGAAUCGCUAGUAACCGUAGAUCAGCCUCGCUACGGUGAAUACGUUCUCAGGUUUUGCACACACCGCCCGU